RNAcentral lists this ribosomal RNA (465 nucleotides) under Vreelandella stevensii. RNAcentral describes it as "partial 16S ribosomal RNA". It matches the Rfam family "Bacterial small subunit ribosomal RNA", at positions 338 to 795 of the family's 1533-position model. Lineage: Bacteria; Pseudomonadati; Pseudomonadota; Gammaproteobacteria; Oceanospirillales; Halomonadaceae. The record is from RNAcentral.
CCUACGGGAGGCAGCAGUGGGGAAUAUUGGACAAUGGGGGCAACCCUGAUCCAGCCAUGCCGCGUGUGUGAAGAAGGCCCUCGGGUUGUAAAGCACUUUCAGUGAGGAAGAACGCCUGGUGGUUAAUACCCAUCAGGAAAGACAUCACUCACAGAAGAAGCACCGGCUAACUCCGUGCCAGCAGCCGCGGUAAUACGGAGGGUGCGAGCGUUAAUCGGAAUUACUGGGCGUAAAGCGCGCGUAGGUGGCUUGAUAAGCCGGUUGUGAAAGCCCCGGGCUCAACCUGGGAACGGCAUCCGGAACUGUCAAGCUAGAGUGCAGGAGAGGAAGGUAGAAUUCCCGGUGUAGCGGUGAAAUGCGUAGAGAUCGGGAGGAAUACCAGUGUCGAAGGCGGCCUUCUGGACUGACACUGACACUGAGGUGCGAAAGCGUGGGUGGCAAACAGGAUUAGAUACCCUAGUAGUC